RNAcentral lists this ribosomal RNA (1450 nucleotides) under uncultured organism. Its description in RNAcentral is "SSU rRNA". It matches the Rfam family "Bacterial small subunit ribosomal RNA". The record is from RNAcentral.
AUGAACGCUAGCUACAGGCUUAACACAUGCAAGUCGAGGGGCAGCAUUUUAGUUUGCUUGCAAACUGAAGAUGGCGACCGGCGCACGGGUGAGUAACACGUAUCCAACCUGCCGAUAACUCCGGAAUAGCCUUUCGAAAGAAAGAUUAAUACCGGAUAGCAUACGAAUAUCGCAUGAUAUUUUUAUUAAAGAAUUUCGGUUAUCGAUGGGGAUGCGUUCCAUUAGUUUGUUGGCGGGGUAACGGCCCACCAAGACUACGAUGGAUAGGGGUUCUGAGAGGAAGGUCCCCCACAUUGGAACUGAGACACGGUCCAAACUCCUACGGGAGGCAGCAGUGAGGAAUAUUGGUCAAUGGGCGAGAGCCUGAACCAGCCAAGUAGCGUGAAGGAUGAAGGCUCUAUGGGUCGUAAACUUCUUUUAUAUGGGAAUAAAGUUUUCCACGUGUGGAAUUUUGUAUGUACCAUAUGAAUAAGGAUCGGCUAACUCCGUGCCAGCAGCCGCGGUAAUACGGAGGAUCCGAGCGUUAUCCGGAUUUAUUGGGUUUAAAGGGAGCGUAGGUGGAUUGUUAAGUCAGUUGUGAAAGUUUGCGGCUCAACCGUAAAAUUGCAGUUGAAACUGGCAGUCUUGAGUACAGUAGAGGUGGGCGGAAUUCGUGGUGUAGCGGUGAAAUGCUUAGAUAUCACGAAGAACUCCGAUUGCGAAGGCAGCUCACUAGACUGUCACUGACACUGAUGCUCGAAAGUGUGGGUAUCAAACAGGAUUAGAUACCCUGGUAGUCCACACAGUAAACGAUGAAUACUCGCUGUUUGCGAUAUACAGUAAGCGGCCAAGCGAAAGCAUUAAGUAUUCCACCUGGGGAGUACGCCGGCAACGGUGAAACUCAAAGGAAUUGACGGGGGCCCGCACAAGCGGAGGAACAUGUGGUUUAAUUCGAUGAUACGCGAGGAACCUUACCCGGGCUUAAAUUGCAACAGAAUAUAUUGGAAACAGUAUAGCCGUAAGGCUGUUGUGAAGGUGCUGCAUGGUUGUCGUCAGCUCGUGCCGUGAGGUGUCGGCUUAAGUGCCAUAACGAGCGCAACCCUUAUCUUUAGUUACUAACAGGUCAUGCUGAGGACUCUAGAGAGACUGCCGUCGUAAGAUGUGAGGAAGGUGGGGAUGACGUCAAAUCAGCACGGCCCUUACGUCCGGGGCUACACACGUGUUACAAUGGGGGGUACAGAAGGCGGCUACCUGGUGACAGGAUGCUAAUCCCAAAAACCCCUCUCAGUUCGGAUCGAAGUCUGCAACCCGACUUCGUGAAGCUGGAUUCGCUAGUAAUCGCGCAUCAGCCAUGGCGCGGUGAAUACGUUCCCGGGCCUUGUACACACCGCCCGUCAAGCCAUGAAAGCCGGGGGUACCUGAAGUACGUAACCGCAAGGAGCGUCCUAGGGUAAAACUGGUAAUUGGGGCU